This 391-nucleotide unclassified non-coding RNA is filed under the name soil metagenome. RNAcentral's name for it is "partial contains 5.8S ribosomal RNA, internal transcribed spacer 2, and large subunit ribosomal RNA". The stretch from base 1 to 122 matches the Rfam family "5.8S ribosomal RNA", at positions 35 to 154 of the family's 154-position model. The record is from RNAcentral.
GAUGAAGAACGUAGCGAAAUGCGAUAAGUAAUGUGAAUUGCAGAAUUCAGUGAAUCAUCGAGUCUUUGAACGCAAGUUGCGCCCGAAGCCAUUAGGCCGAGGGCACGCCUGCCUGGGCGUCACACGUCGUUGCCCCCCCCAUCUACUCCUUCGGGAUUGCGGGGGGCGGAUGAUGGCCUCCCGUGCGCCUCGCCGCGCGGUUGGCAUAAAUACCAAGUCCUCGGCGACGCACGCCACGACAAUCGGUGGUUGCGAAACCUCGGUUGCCCGUCGUGUGCGUUCGUCGCGCAUCGAGGGCUCGAAAAAAUGCUCGGCUUCGGCUCGGCUUUCAACGCGACCCCAGGUCAGGCGGGGUUACCCGCUGAAUUUAAGCAUAUCAAUAAGCGGAGGA